CGUGAAGGUUUGAGGACACUAGGACUGUUUGAGCAGGUUCAGAUGUGUACAGAGGCUUUCCAUUCAGUCUUUUGUGGGCCUGUGGAAAGGCUCACAGCUGAAUCAGUCAUGGAGCUCUUUACAGUCCAGUUUUCAGAAGAAAAAGAGAACACAACAUUAAACUUUUGGAAAAAGUAUCUGCAUGAGUGUGACGAGGGUCGGUGUGCAGCAUCACUCACGGACCUCCUAACAUUUGCCACUGCUACAGAUUUGGUUCCAUCCAUUGGAUUCCAUCCCACUCCCUCUAUUUCAUUCUUCAGCUCAUCAGACACCUCAUGUGCCUUUCCUCAGAGCCACUGUGAUGCCAAUCAUCUCAUUCUGCCAAUACUACCCUCCUAUGAGCUCUUCAAGAAACACUUGGAUUACACAGUGUGUCAGUUCUCAGUUAUGCAGGACAUUUAAAAAAAAA
This is a long non-coding RNA of Sinocyclocheilus anshuiensis, 448 nucleotides long. RefSeq lists it as uncharacterized. The transcript is spliced from 2 exons. The record is from RefSeq and is a predicted model, not a curated record. Lineage: Eukaryota; Metazoa; Chordata; Actinopteri; Cypriniformes; Cyprinidae.